RNAcentral lists this transfer RNA (77 nucleotides) under Defluviicoccus sp. Its description in RNAcentral is "tRNA-Pro". It matches the Rfam family "tRNA". From Rfam's summary of the family: Transfer RNA (tRNA) molecules are approximately 80 nucleotides in length. Their secondary structure includes four short double-helical elements and three loops (D, anti-codon, and T loops). Lineage: Bacteria; Pseudomonadati; Pseudomonadota; Alphaproteobacteria; Rhodospirillales; Rhodospirillaceae. The record is from RNAcentral.
CGGGGCGUGGCGCAGCCUGGUAGCGCACCUGCUUUGGGAGCAGGGGGUCGCAGGUUCGAAUCCUGCCGCCCCGACCA